This 1105-nucleotide ribosomal RNA is filed under the name Usnea subfloridana. Its description in RNAcentral is "LSU rRNA". It matches the Rfam family "Eukaryotic large subunit ribosomal RNA", at positions 106 to 1138 of the family's 3401-position model. Lineage: Eukaryota; Fungi; Ascomycota; Lecanoromycetes; Lecanorales; Parmeliaceae. The record is from RNAcentral.
AGCUCAAAUUUGAAAUCUGGCCCCGUCGGGGUCCGAGUUGUAAUUUGUAGAGAGUGUUUCGGGUGAGACCACGGUCUAAGUCUAUUGGAACAUGGCGUCAUAGAGGGUGAGAAUCCCGUAUGUGACCGUGGCUCGAGCCCAUGUGAAGCCUCUUCGACGAGUCGAGUUGUUUGGGAAUGCAGCUCAAAAUGGGUGGUAAAUUUCAUCUAAAGCUAAAUACUGGCUGGAGACCGAUAGCGCACAAGUAGAGUGAUCGAAAGAUGAAAAGCACUUUGGAAAGAGAGUCAAAAAGUACGUGAAAUUGUUGAAAGGGAAGCGCUUGCAACCAGACCUGUCCGUAGGUGAUCAACCGCUGUUCUCAGUGGUGCACUCGCUCUGCGAUCAGGCCAGCAUCGGUUCCGGCGGUCGGAUAAAGGCCUUGGGAAUGUAGCUGCCUUCGGGGAGUCUUAUAGCCCUCGGUGCAAUGCGGCCAGCCGGGACCGAGGACCGCGCUUCGGCUAGGAUGCUGGCGUAAUGGUUGUAAGCGACCCGUCUUGAAACACGGACCAAGGAGUCUAACAUCUAUGCGAGUGUUUGGGUGUUAAACCCAUGCGCGGAAUGAAAGUGAACGGAGGUGAGAACCCUUUAGGGCGCAUCAUCGACCGAUCCAGAUGUCUUCGGAUGGAUUUGAGUAUGAGCAUAGCUGUUGGGACCCGAAAGAUGGUGAACUAUGCCUGAAUAGGGUGAAGCCAGAGGAAACUCUGGUGGAGGCUCGCAGCGGUUCUGACGUGCAAAUCGAUCGUCAAAUUUGGGUAUAGGGGUACGUGUUCUAUUCGAGAUGAUGAGAUGAGAUUUAAUGCUAAUUUUUUGAUAUAGGCGAAAGACUAAUCGAACCAUCCCUUUAAUACGCUAUAGGUGGUUAAUCAAAGUAUCUUGUUUCUCAAAUACUUUCAGUCCUUCGGGGCGACAUCACUACUUGCAUGAACAAACCUUUAGGUUGACAUGCUGCAGUUCUUCCCACUCGUGUGGGGCCUGUUCACAGACCAAAUAGUGGUGGCCGGGCUAUUUCUUUUAUGAAUGCUCGGUUUAGAAAUGGCCGAGUCCUACUCUUAAUUGAGUCGGUCCU